Molecule: long non-coding RNA, 318 nt
Organism: Melitaea cinxia (Glanville fritillary)
Lineage: Eukaryota; Metazoa; Arthropoda; Insecta; Lepidoptera; Nymphalidae
Exons: 2
Source: RefSeq, a predicted model, not a curated record
GUCUGUUUCCCAUUAUCCUUUGGUGGCAGAAAGACUUGAGAAAAAGGAAACUUUGAUUCCGGCUGCCAGCUAAAAUAACAAUACUGCAUGUCAGUCUUGAAAAAUGUAAGCACUAACGAAUACAGCUCGAUUUCACAAUAACGCCUCCUUUUAUGAAAGCGAAACGAAUAAAACACAUGGAAAAUUCACGCCCUGUCAGUCGGCCAUGGCGUCCAUUCCAGCCGCGAUGAUCUUCCCGGAAAAAUAUUUUUGUAAGUAUGUGACAAAACUUAAAAACGAUAGCUUGAUAGAACUGGAUAAAUAAAUCACUAAUGAAAA